This 312-nucleotide long non-coding RNA is filed under the name Anolis carolinensis (green anole). RNAcentral's name for it is "lncRNA (ENSACAG00000036193.1)". Lineage: Eukaryota; Metazoa; Chordata; Lepidosauria; Squamata; Anolidae. The record is from RNAcentral.
CCCACAUGCUCUGACGUAGAAAAAGGGGCGGAGAAAAAGGAAAAAAGGGGAAAAGCGUCCCCUGCUGCCUUAAGCUUGACGCAUGCGAAGUUUAUCCUUGCCCCGCCCACCCCUAUUUCCCGCCCGCGGAUGGAACAGGCGGGUUUCACUUUUCUUUCGUUGAGCGCGGGGGGGAGGUACCAAUCUGUUUGCGGGGGUGAAGAAGGAGCAGACCUAUCGGGGAAAAAAAGAAAGACAGAAAAGAAAAAAAUAUUGAUUAAGGGCCUUUGGUUCAAGGAAGGAUUUGCAAAGACCUGUUGCUGAAGCAAUUGU